This 553-nucleotide long non-coding RNA is filed under the name Salvia miltiorrhiza (redroot sage). RNAcentral's name for it is "long non-coding RNA (SMIL_LNC013710)". Lineage: Eukaryota; Viridiplantae; Streptophyta; Magnoliopsida; Lamiales; Lamiaceae. The record is from RNAcentral.
CCCCAUUUUCCCCAUCCCUCAGCCGCCGCCACCCUCACACAGCACACACACAUAAACCGAGAACAGGAGAGAGAGAGAGAGAUCGAGAGGGAGAGAGAGAGAGAGAAUAAAGGUGUUACCUGAGGCAGGGGGCGGCGGUGCGACGGCGGCGAAAGUGGCGGGACUCGCCGGAGGGGCGAAAUUCAGAGAGGAGAGGGAGGCUGAAAACCCUAGAAAUUGGGGAUUUUAUUUUGGGGAAGAAAUAAGGAAGAAAAUGAAAGGAGAGGAGAAGGAAUAAGAAGAGGCGCCGGCCUCGUCACGCCAGAGGCGGCGAGAACCGGCGACGUCGCCGGACGAAAGAGGGAGAGAGACGACAUGGAGCGAGAGAAAGCAAUAACGCAGAGAGAGAGAGAGUUUGCGUACAAAUAAGAGGGGGUUUGGUUGGGUGAGUAAUUAGACACCGAUCCGGGCAGACGGAAGCAGACCAUGGGCGCGGCGAACUGAGGGGGCUGGACGGAGGCGCGGCAGACCGGGGGGGCGCGGCGGACUGGAAGAAGGUGAGGAUUGGGGAAGC